Uloborus diversus is the source of this 231-nucleotide long non-coding RNA. RefSeq lists it as uncharacterized. The transcript is spliced from 3 exons. NCBI's taxonomy places the organism in Eukaryota, Metazoa, Arthropoda, Arachnida, Araneae, Uloboridae. The record is from RefSeq and is a predicted model, not a curated record.
AAAGCACGCCAGGUCUCCUGCACUGGACAUUUUUGCGCGGGAAAUGAAAGGCGGUCGGUGGUCCGUUGGCUUGGCGUUGAAUACAUGAAAAAUUUUUCAGAUGGGGUUCUUUCCGUUUCCUGCUGGGAAAACCGUUAGAUGCCAUCGUGGAUUGAUGAAUACCGUUGUACUUGAAUAAACAGGAACUCUUAACAGAAGCUUCUUUGUCAGCAGCAUCAGUUUGGGUGCCCG